This is a non-coding RNA of Prunus mume (Japanese apricot), 631 nucleotides long. The record is from RefSeq and is a predicted model, not a curated record. NCBI's taxonomy places the organism in Eukaryota, Viridiplantae, Streptophyta, Magnoliopsida, Rosales, Rosaceae.
ACUCAGGAUCCAUACCUACAAGUGGAGCAUCUGCACCUGUUGGAGGUUUUGCAAAUGGUAUGCCAAACAUGCAGGGCCCAUCAAAUGCAAGUGGAGGCCAAAUGUAUCCUCAGGGUGGCGCCUUUAAUCGGGGUCAACCUGGGCAAAUUCCAAUGCAUCCAGGGUAUAAUCCCUACCAGACUAGGGGUCAGUCUGCUAUGCCUCAACCUCCACCAGGUCCGCCACCGCAUGGGCAAACACCUCAGUAGACCAUUUUCUAUCCGACUUCACUUAUCUAGGCCCCCCUCCCCUCUUCUUCUCUCCCCCUCGUUUCAGGACAGCGUGUUUGUAUGUAAAUCCUCACCUUUGCCUUAUAGCUUUGUUUGUACUUUAGCAUAGAAGUGACACAUUGAGAUGGCUUUGUCGAGCAAACACAAGAAAAUUGCACGAGUUAUCCGGAGUGACUGGGCGUAAAGUGUCCAUAGUAUGUCCAUCAAAUUUCAGGGCUAACCCUGGGCAGACAGUGGAAGCUACAAACUGGAGUACCGAAAAUUGUCAUCUGUUCAAUUUUGUUAUUGUUAUGUACGUCGGCCUAGAAUUGACUCAUUGAGAUGGCUUUGGUUGAGCAGCAAAAAUCAUUUAAAUUCCGGUA